GCAAGUCUGGUGCCAGCAGCCGCGGUAAUUCCAGCUCCAAUAGCGUAUAUUAAAGUUGUUGCAGUUAAAACGUCCGUAGUCAAACUUUAGUCUUACCGGCGUAGUGGCCUGGUCUUCAUUGACCAAGCUCAUUGCUGCCGGAGACUCCACGUCCAUUGACUCCUAGUCCUCGUGGCUAGGGUUUUCUGGACAAUUACCAUGAGCAAAUCAGAGUGUUUAAAGCAGGCUUUUAAGCUUGAAUGUGUUAGCAUGGAAUAAUGAAAUAUGACUUUAGUCCUAUUUUCGUUGGUUUAGGUACUUCAGUAAUGAUGAAUAGAAACGGUUAGGGGCAUUUGUAUUUGGUCGCUAGAGGUGAAAUUCUUGGAUUGACCGAAGACAAACUACUGCGAAAGCAUUUGCCAA
RNAcentral lists this ribosomal RNA (402 nucleotides) under uncultured fungus. RNAcentral's name for it is "SSU rRNA". It matches the Rfam family "Eukaryotic small subunit ribosomal RNA", at positions 555 to 961 of the family's 1831-position model. Lineage: Eukaryota; Fungi. The record is from RNAcentral.